RNAcentral lists this ribosomal RNA (1429 nucleotides) under Bacillus sp. (in: firmicutes). RNAcentral's name for it is "bacterial SSU rRNA". It matches the Rfam family "Bacterial small subunit ribosomal RNA". Lineage: Bacteria; Bacillati; Bacillota; Bacilli; Caryophanales; Bacillaceae. The record is from RNAcentral.
CUAUACAUGCAAGUCGAGCGGACAGAUGGGAGCUUGCUCCCUGAUGUUAGCGGCGGACGGGUGAGUAACACGUGGGUAACCUGCCUGUAAGACUGGGAUAACUCCGGGAAACCGGGGCUAAUACCGGAUGGUUGUUUGAACCGCAUGGUUCAGACAUAAAAGGUGGCUUCGGCUACCACUUACAGAUGGACCCGCGGCGCAUUAGCUAGUUGGUGAGGUAACGGCUCACCAAGGCGACGAUGCGUAGCCGACCUGAGAGGGUGAUCGGCCACACUGGGACUGAGACACGGCCCAGACUCCUACGGGAGGCAGCAGUAGGGAAUCUUCCGCAAUGGACGAAAGUCUGACGGAGCAACGCCGCGUGAGUGAUGAAGGUUUUCGGAUCGUAAAGCUCUGUUGUUAGGGAAGAACAAGUGCCGUUCAAAUAGGGCGGCACCUUGACGGUACCUAACCAGAAAGCCACGGCUAACUACGUGCCAGCAGCCGCGGUAAUACGUAGGUGGCAAGCGUUGUCCGGAAUUAUUGGGCGUAAAGGGCUCGCAGGCGGUUUCUUAAGUCUGAUGUGAAAGCCCCCGGCUCAACCGGGGAGGGUCAUUGGAAACUGGGGAACUUGAGUGCAGAAGAGGAGAGUGGAAUUCCACGUGUAGCGGUGAAAUGCGUAGAGAUGUGGAGGAACACCAGUGGCGAAGGCGACUCUCUGGUCUGUAACUGACGCUGAGGAGCGAAAGCGUGGGGAGCGAACAGGAUUAGAUACCCUGGUAGUCCACGCCGUAAACGAUGAGUGCUAAGUGUUAGGGGGUUUCCGCCCCUUAGUGCUGCAGCUAACGCAUUAAGCACUCCGCCUGGGGAGUACGGUCGCAAGACUGAAACUCAAAGGAAUUGACGGGGGCCCGCACAAGCGGUGGAGCAUGUGGUUUAAUUCGGAAGCAACGCGAAGAACCUUACCAGGUCUUGACAUCCUCUGACAAUCCUAGAGAUAGGACGUCCCCUUCGGGGGCAGAGUGACAGGUGGUGCAUGGUUGUCGUCAGCUCGUGUCGUGAGAUGUUGGGUUAAGUCCCGCAACGAGCGCAACCCUUGAUCUUAGUUGCCAGCAUUCAGUUGGGCACUCUAAGGUGACUGCCGGUGACAAACCGGAGGAAGGUGGGGAUGACGUCAAAUCAUCAUGCCCCUUAUGACCUGGGCUACACACGUGCUACAAUGGACAGAACAAAGGGCAGCGAAACCGCGAGGUUAAGCCAAUCCCACAAAUCUGUUCUCAGUUCGGAUCGCAGUCUGCAACUCGACUGCGUGAAGCUGGAAUCGCUAGUAAUCGCGGAUCAGCAUGCCGCGGUGAAUACGUUCCCGGGCCUUGUACACACCGCCCGUCACACCACGAGAGUUUGUAACACCCGAAGUCGGUGAGGUAACCUUUUAGGAGCCAGCCGCCGA